AAAUCCCGAAACAAGCACGCCCCAGGUUUUCAAACCCAAAUCCCUAAACAAGCACGCCCCAGGUUUUCAAAGCCACGUUGGCAUUUUCAGCGGCAAACUCCCCCACCCAACACCCACCAUUCUGCUUGGGUUGUCAGAAAAUUGGCCAAAAUCUCUUAUUCAUUCUACUAUUUUAAAAUUCCUAUGUUCACCGUGAUAUGAUCUAAAAAUGCAGAUUAUAUCCAUUUUCCUUGUUGUUUUCCUUCCAAUCCUUUUGCUUCUUUUUCUCACCUUGUCCUUCCGGGAGCCCCUGCAGCUGACGCUGAUGUCGGAGUCUCGGGUGUUCCUUCUGGUCUCGCUCCCGACUUGAGGAGGCAGAUUUCAACAUGGAGCAGCAGGACUGGAAAGAUGGCUCCUAUCUAUUCCAAAUAACUCCAAUAUCGCCUCAAGUGAAGAGGAAAGCCUCAUAUUUCAAGGCCACUGACUGGAACCCAUUCACAUGCCACAGGGAGACGGAUGCCGUUGUUUUUUUUACGGCAAAGGAAACAGUGAUGUAUUGGAGUCUCAUCACCCCGUCUCUCCAUCAUCACAAGCCAGUCUGGCUUGUGUAGCACGAUUAAAAUGUUAUGUCUCCCAGUGAGCUAGUAAAUAUCAACACUUUCUCUC
Homo sapiens (human) is the source of this 645-nucleotide long non-coding RNA. RefSeq lists it as uncharacterized. The record is from RefSeq and is a predicted model, not a curated record. NCBI's taxonomy places the organism in Eukaryota, Metazoa, Chordata, Mammalia, Primates, Hominidae. The transcript is spliced from 2 exons.